GACCUGCGGAAGGAUCAUUACCGAGUGAGGGCCCUCUGGGUCCAACCUCCCACCCGUGUUUAUUUUACCUUGUUGCUUCGGCGGGCCCGCCUUAACUGGCCGCCGGGGGGCUCACGCCCCCGGGCCCGCGCCCGCCGAAGACACCCUCGAACUCUGUCUGAAGAUUGAAGUCUGAGUGAAAAUAUAAAUUAUUUAAAACUUUCAACAACGGAUCUCUUGGUUCCGGCAUCGAUGAAGAACGCAGCGAAAUGCGAUACGUAAUGUGAAUUGCAAAUUCAGUGAAUCAUCGAGUCUUUGAACGCACAUUGCGCCCCCUGGUAUUCCGGGGGGCAUGCCUGUCCGAGCGUCAUUGCUGCCCUCAAGCCCGGCUUGUGUGUUGGGCCCCGUCCUCCGAUUUCCGGGGGACGGGCCCGAAAGGCAGCGGCGGCACCGCGUCCGGUCCUCGAGCGUAUGGGGCUUUGUCACCCGCUCUGUAGGCCCGGCCGGCGCUUGCCGAUCAACCCAAAUUUUUAUCCAGGUUGACCUCGGAUC
This 531-nucleotide unclassified non-coding RNA is filed under the name Penicillium solitum. RNAcentral's name for it is "sequence contains 18S rRNA gene, ITS1, 5.8S rRNA gene, ITS2, 28S rRNA gene". The stretch from base 197 to 349 matches the Rfam family "5.8S ribosomal RNA". The record is from RNAcentral. Lineage: Eukaryota; Fungi; Ascomycota; Eurotiomycetes; Eurotiales; Aspergillaceae.